AAGAGUUCUCAUAGUCUCACUCUGAACACACCCGAUCUCGUCUGAUCUUGGGAGCUAAGCAGGAUUUGGCCUAGUUAAUACUUGGAUGAAAGAGUUACCAGAUGCACUUCAUC
This 113-nucleotide ribosomal RNA is filed under the name Saimiri boliviensis boliviensis (Bolivian squirrel monkey). Lineage: Eukaryota; Metazoa; Chordata; Mammalia; Primates; Cebidae. The record is from RNAcentral.